Molecule: ribosomal RNA, 990 nt
Filed under: metagenome
Also listed under: 1 other name
Description: bacterial LSU rRNA
Rfam family: Bacterial large subunit ribosomal RNA
Source: RNAcentral
CCGUAACUAUAACGGUCCUAAGGUAGCGAAAUUCCUUGUCGGGUAAGUUCCGACCCGCACGAAAGGUGUAACGAUUUGGGCACUGUCUCAACGAGGGACCCGGUGAAAUUGAAAUACCUGUGAAGAUGCAGGUUACCCGCGACUGGACAGAAAGACCCCAUGGAGCUUUACUGUAACCUGACAUUGGGUUUUGAUACAUUACGUACAGGAUAGGUGGGAGGCUUGGAAAGCUGGACGCUAGUCUGGCUGGAGCCGACGUUGGGAUACCACCCUUGAUGUAUUGAAAUUCUAACCGCGAGAGUAACGAAAUCCGGGACAGUGUCAGGCGGGCAGUUUGACUGGGGCGGUCGCCUCCGAAAGAGUAACGGAGGCGCCCAAAGGUUCCCUCAGCGCGGCCGGAAAUCGCGCGAAGAGUGUAAAGGCAGAAGGGAGCUUGACUGCGAGUCAAACACGACGAGCAGGUACGAAAGUAGGGCUUAGUGAUCCGGUGGUACCGAGUGGAAGGGCCAUCGCUCAACGGAUAAAAGCUACCCUGGGGAUAACAGGCUAAUCUCUCCCAAGAGUCCAUAUCGACGGGGAGGUUUGGCACCUCGAUGUCGGCUCAUCACAUCCUGGGGCUGAAGUCGGUCCCAAGGGUUGGGCUGUUCGCCCAUUAAAGUGGUACGUGAGCUGGGUUCAGAACGUCGUGAGACAGUUCGGUCCCUAUCCAUCGCGGGCGCAAGAGAUUUGAAGGGGGCUGCUCCUAGUACGAGAGGACCGGAGUGGACGAACCGCUGGUGUACCAAUUAUCCCGCCAGGGGUACAGUUGGGUAGCUACGUUCGGAAAGGAUAAACGCUGAAAGCAUCUAAGCGUGAAACCAGCCUUAAGAUGAGAUCUCUCAUAGAGCAAUCUAGUAAGACACCUUAAAGAAGAUGAGGUUGAUAGGUCGGGAGUGUAAGUACAGCAAUGUAUUGAGCGGACCGAUACUAAUAUGUCGAGGGCUUGACUUA